UACGUAGGUCCCGAGCGUUGUCCGGAUGUAUUGGGCGUAAAGCGAGCGCAGGUGGUUUAAUAAGUCUGAUGUAAAAGGCAGUGGCUCAACCAUUGUGUGCAUUGGAAACUGUUAGACUUGAGUGCAGUAGAGGAGAGUGGAAUUCCAUGUGUAGCGGUGAAAUGCGUAGAUAUAUGGAGGAACACCGGUGGCGAAAGCGGCUCUCUGGACUGUAACUGACACUGAGGCUCGAAAGCGUGGGUAGCAAACAGG
RNAcentral lists this ribosomal RNA (252 nucleotides) under uncultured microorganism. Its description in RNAcentral is "partial 16S ribosomal RNA". It matches the Rfam family "Bacterial small subunit ribosomal RNA", at positions 524 to 776 of the family's 1533-position model. The record is from RNAcentral.